RNAcentral lists this long non-coding RNA (3703 nucleotides) under Malus domestica (apple). Its description in RNAcentral is "long non-coding RNA (MDOM_LNC018421)". Lineage: Eukaryota; Viridiplantae; Streptophyta; Magnoliopsida; Rosales; Rosaceae. The record is from RNAcentral.
AUUUCUCAACUCACUUUGAUUUGAGUUGAGUCUUGGUUCACCAAUCUACUAGGCUUUGAAUUUCUUGGUUGAUGUUUUGUUUUUAAGUGCAUGCAAGCAUGAUUCCGCCUUUAAUUGUUAAUUGCAUGCUUAUAGAUGUUGCUUAAAUGAACAUGUUUUCACAAAAUCUUCCUUCACUUAUAUAUUUAUAGAGAGAAUGUAAGGCACGGCGAGGGUGAGUAAAAAGAGAAUUAAGACUCCUAAAUUCAGAUGGGAAAUAAGGUAGGAUAAGAUUAGGAUAGGAUAAGAUAAGAUAAGGUUAGUUUGGAUAAGAUAAGAUUGGAUAAGGUUUUGGAUAAUGUUCCUUCCUUUUAGCUGAUUCCUUAUCUUCUUUGUCUUGAAUUCAUUUUCUUCAUCUUUUCAGCACAUUCCUAGCCUCUUGAACUUCAAAAAUGUCCAUCCACCUUGCUCCAUGCAUGUGCUAUCCAUUCAUGGCUUAAAACUGCUCCAAAAUGCUCUAAAUUGCACUUUCUUGCCAACUGUGUCAUUUGGACCUACAAACACACUAAAAUGGCUUAAAUCACUAUAAUAAGCAAGAACUAACAACAUAAAUUCAAGAAAACAAGCUAACUAAGUCGCAUAAAUAUGCUCCUAUCAAAUUCCCCCACACUUAGCUUUUGCUAGUCCUCGAGCAAAAUGAAACAAACAAAACAUAACCUAGACCUUCCAACAUUUGCCUCAGGGAUUUCUAAUGAAACAUGACACAUUAAAAAUCACUACUCGCAUAGAUUUUAGCCAUCCUUACCCUCGAGCACACACUUAAUCAUAGUCACCACUCACUAGCUCGCAUUUAAUCAAUUAAAACAAUGUUUUGAAUGUAGUAACAUGCCUUUGAGAAUUCCCUCAAUUCCUCACUAGAUAUACUCUCUAUUUUCACACAUAUUUUCUGGAUAUACUCUCUAUUUUCACACAUGUAUAUAUAUGAUCUCAUGAAUGGAAUGCCACUACUUAGACGCGAGAACUGAGGAUUCCAUAUGCUCAUACCAAUCCCAAACUCCACAGAUUGAAACACACAACAACCAAGAUAGAAGUCACAGGAUUGUAAUGGGGCUAAGGGCAUUGGCUAACAAAGAAAGGUCAAGGAUAAACAAAGGUUCGUAAAGCAAUAGUAAGCAAAAAUUGUUGGAAAUGUGCCCUAAAACCAAUCAUAUGAUGAUACUUUACGGACAUUUCACAUGUUAAACUAAUCUAGUUUAAUAUCAAGGGCAUAGAUGUUGGAAGUAUGCCCACAAAGCCACUCAUUUGAUGUAAUAGCUUUUGGAAUACUUAUUGUAUUAAACUUUUAUAUGUUUAAUGAAGGGCAAAGCUUAUUGUUAAUCACUAUUUAUUGUAUCAUGUGUUUAAGCAAUAAGGGAAUCCAAGGAAUGUAUUUGAUCUAAGAGAUAAGUGAUUUAAGUAAGUUAGAUUAUCGAGACCUUUCUCUUAUGUUCAUUCCUAAAACGUUCCUAGCCAUAGGAUUGCCAAUUGGGCAUUGACAAUCCGCUAAGGUUAGUAUGUGUUAUGUCGACUCAAACGUGAGUAUGACUAGUCUCAUGUCAUUUAGUGUUGGACACUAAGGCAAACACAUAGGUGCUCGAAAGAGUGAUCGAGUACACUGAACAACGAUCAAAAGAGAGUUCGAACAUACAUGUCAUGUAAGAACUCGAAAGUUGCAAUAUGCAAGGUAGUCCUUUGACCUGAGGCAUCAUAGAUGUCUAAUGGUUAGGUCCUUGAUCUUUGAUCAUGUCAAAGGCAUUCCAUUGGAGUGUCCACGACAUUGUUGUGGUCAAGCUACCUAGUCAUGUAGGCAUAUGAAUGCACAACAAGGAAUCUCUAACCUUCCAUGGUGGAAGGAGAAUACUCUAAGAUAUGAUUCGAGAGUCUUUGGCCAAAGCAUAUGAAUAUGACUUCGGAAGUUUGUUCCAAAUCAUAUAGAUAAGUAUCACAUUGGAUAGUAGACAUGAAACAAACUAUCACCUAAAACAAUGUGAUUAAGAGUAUUGUAUUAGAGAAUGACCGUAUUGUAUUGUAAUUGUAACUGGAUAGGUUCUCCAACCACUUCUACUUAGCUUGGGUAACCAUGAUAUGCUGCUAGGUGUCACUCAUGGUUUGUGGAAGCCCUAAAGAUUAGCAAACACUAAUUUUAAGGGAGAAUUGAAAUGUGGUUUCAAUUCACAAUCGAUCGUUAAGAGUAAUAAUCGCCCACUACCUCGCUAAAUGGAACCUAAUGGAUCGUACACCGAGUAAGGAUGUUGGUGAAGAAAUUAAAUGAAAUAGAUAAGCAAUUAAAUGGUUUAAUUGAAGAAUGGUCAAGGUUAAUUAAUUAGUUAAUUAAUUAUAUGAAAUGUUCGUAUUGGGCUUAUAUGUUGGUUUUGGGUUUCGGGGCCCAAAAGCGUUUUGGUCCACAAGACCCAUUAUGUUCAAGUUGUAUGACAACUAAAACAAAAUGGGCAAUUAGCCCAAUCAAUUUGAUAUGGCCGGCCAUUAGGGUGAGAAGUGUCAAACUUGGAUUAAUUACAAGUUUGCCACUCACAUGUGAUGAAGUAUAAAUUCAACUUUAUAGCUUUAUUUUCAAUAAGGGGUUUUUCUUGGUGAAAUGAGGUGAAACAAUUUUCUCUCAUUUUCUCUAAAGAGGCCGGCCACCUAGGGAAGGAAUAGCUAGCAAACUCUUCUUCCCUAAGUCAUCCAUUUCAUCUUCACAUCACAUCCUUGGUGAAGAGACUUAGAGACAUCAAGCUUUUGAUGUUUUGGAGAACAAAUCCUUAAAUCCUCAAAGAAGCAAAGGAGCACAAAAGGAGGAAAAUCACAAGGAAGAUCCAAGGAGCAAGGAGGUGACUUGAAGGCCCUCCACUUGGGUGAAUCCCUUGUGUAAUCAAGGAUGAGUUUCAAGGGUAAAGAAACUCUAAAUCUUUCCUUCUCUUUAAUGUUGUUAAAGAGUUUAUUGGUUCACCAUAUACUAGGCUUUGAAAGUCAUGGGUUUUAUGAAUUUUUUUUAAUGCAUCCCUACUUUAAUGUGUUAAUAGUUUGCAUAUGUAUUCAAAUGUUCUUACUUGUUCUUAGCUAGGACAAAAUUUUUCCUUCAAUAGAUUAUUGUUUUAAGCCGUCUCAUAUAAAUGUUAUAUGCUUAAACGAUGAGUCCAAGGAAUAUGUAAUUAGGAUAAUGUAAUUUAAAGAAGUUAGAUUCAUGAGACCAUUCUCUUUCGUAUACAUAUCCUAAACGUUCCUGAUCAUAGGAUUGCCAAUUGGGCAUUGACAGUCCGUUAAGAUCAGUAUGUGCUAUGUCUUCUCUUACUGAGAGUGACUGGUCUCGAGUCAUUGGUGUGACUGACACCAAGACAAGUACGUAGGUGCUCAAUAAGGAAUGAGUUCACUGAACACGAUCAACGAAGAGUUCUCAUACUCAUGUCACAUGAGAACUCAUGGUUGGGAUAAUGCAAAGUAGUCAUUUGACCUGAGGCAUCAUAGUUGUCUUAUGGUUAGAUCCUUGAUCUUUGAUUAUGUCAAAGUCACUCCAUUCGCGGGUGUCCACGGCAUAGUUGGGGUUAAGCCACUUAGCCAUGGAGGCAAGUGAAUGCGCAACAAGGGAUCUCUAACAUUCAAACCGUUUGAGGGAGAGUACUCUAUGAUAUGAUUAAGAAUCUCUGGCCAGAGUAUGAAUGAGAUUUAGGAAGUCAUUCCAAAUCAC